Molecule: ribosomal RNA, 253 nt
Filed under: uncultured bacterium
Lineage: Bacteria
Description: partial 16S ribosomal RNA
Rfam family: Bacterial small subunit ribosomal RNA
Source: RNAcentral
UACGAAGGAUCCAAGCGUUGUCCGGAUUUACUGGGUUUAAAGGGAGCGUAGGCGGAUCUUUAAGUCAGUGGUGAAAGCUCUCAGCUUAACUGGGAAACUGCCAUUGAAACUGAAGAUCUCGAGUAUGGUUGAGGUUACUGGAAUGUUGCAUGUAGCGGUGAAAUGCUUAGAUAUGCAACAGAACACCAAUUGCGAAGGCGGGUAACUAAGCCAUAACUGACGCUGAGGCUCGAAAGCGUGGGGAGCAAACAGG